This 117-nucleotide ribosomal RNA is filed under the name uncultured bacterium. Its description in RNAcentral is "partial 16S ribosomal RNA". It matches the Rfam family "Bacterial small subunit ribosomal RNA", at positions 1355 to 1482 of the family's 1533-position model. The record is from RNAcentral.
UGACGCGGUGAAUACGUUCCCGGGCCUUGUACACACCGCCCGUCAAGCCAUGGAAGUUGGGGUACCUAAAGUACGUAACCGCAAGGAGCGUCCUAGGGUAAAACCGAUAACUGGGCU